Molecule: ribosomal RNA, 1211 nt
Filed under: Ochrocladosporium sp. INBio_4506S
Lineage: Eukaryota; Fungi; Ascomycota; Dothideomycetes; Pleosporales
Description: eukaryotic LSU rRNA
Rfam family: Eukaryotic large subunit ribosomal RNA (bases 310-1211)
Source: RNAcentral
ACAACUUUCAACAACGGAUCUCUUGGUUCUGGCAUCGAUGAAGAACGCAGCGAAAUGCGAAAAGUAGUGUGAAUUGCAGAAUUCAGUGAAUCAUCGAAUCUUUGAACGCACAUUGCGCCCCUUGGUAUUCCAUGGGGCAUGCCUGUUCGAGCGUCAUUUUGUACCCUCAAGCACUGCUUGGUGUUGGGCGUUUGUCCUGCAAAGGACUCGCCUGAAAGCGAUUGGCGGCCAACGUACUGGUGGUAGAGCGCAGCACAAUUUGCGUCUCUCCCUUCUACGUCGGCGUCCAUGAAGCCUUUUUUCAACGUUUGACCUCGGAUCAGGUAGGGAUACCCGCUGAACUUAAGCAUAUCAAUAAGCGGAGGAAAAGAAACCAACAGGGAUUGCCCUAGUAACGGCGAGUGAAGCGGCAUCAGCUCAAAUUUGAAAUCUGGCUCUUUCAGAGUCCGAGUUGUAAUUUGCAGAGGGCGCUUUGGUGUCGGCAGCGGUCCAAGUUCCUUGGAACAGGACGUCACAGAGGGUGAGAAUCCCGUACGUGGUCGCUGACCUACACCGUGUAAAGCCCCUUCGACGAGUCGAGUUGUUUGGGAAUGCAGCUCUAAAUGGGAGGUAAAUUUCUUCUAAAGCUAAAUACUGGCCAGAGACCGAUAGCGCACAAGUAGAGUGAUCGAAAGAUGAAAAGCACUUUGGAAAGAGAGUCAAACAGCACGUGAAAUUGUUGAAAGGGAAGCGCUUGCAGCCAGACUUGCUUGUAGUUGCUCAUCCGGGCUUUUGCCCGGUGCACUCUUCUGCGAGCAGGCCAGCAUCAGUUUGGACGGUUGGAUAAAGGCCUCUGUCACGUACCUUCUCUCGGGAAGGCCUUAUAGGGGAGGCGUCAUGCAACCAGUCUGGACUGAGGUCCGCGCAUCUGCUAGGAUGCUGGCGUAAUGGCUGUAAGCGGCCCGUCUUGAAACACGGACCAAGGAGUCUAACAUCUAUGCGAGUGUUUGGGUGUCAAGCCCGAGCGCGUAAUGAAAGUGAACGGAGGUGGGAUCCCGCAAGGGUGCACCAUCGACCGAUCCUGAUGUCUUCGGAUGGAUUUGAGUAAGAGCAUGGCUGUUGGGACCCGAAAGAUGGUGAACUAUGCUUGAAUAGGGUGAAGCCAGAGGAAACUCUGGUGGAGGCUCGCAGCGGUUCUGACGUGCAAAUCGAUCGUCAAAUUUGGGCAUAGG